This 347-nucleotide ribosomal RNA is filed under the name Pseudambassis lala (highfin glassy perchlet). RNAcentral's name for it is "mitochondrial SSU rRNA". It matches the Rfam family "Bacterial small subunit ribosomal RNA", at positions 1032 to 1527 of the family's 1533-position model. Lineage: Eukaryota; Metazoa; Chordata; Actinopteri; Ambassidae. The record is from RNAcentral.
UUCCCGCCUAUAUACCGCCGUCGUCAGCCUACCCUGUGAAGGCCUAAUAGUUAGCAAAACUAGCACAACCCAAAACGCCAGGUCGAGGUGUAGCACAUGAGAGGGAUAGAAAUGGGCUACACUCCCUUGACAAAGGGAAUACGAAUAGUAUGCUGAAACACAUACAUUGAAGGAGGAUUUAGUAGUAAGCAGAAAAUAGAGUGUUCUGCUGAAUCCGGCCCUAAAGCGCGCACACACCGCCCGUCACUCUCCCCAAGCGACCCGCCCAAAUUAAUAAUAAACCACCACUGCAAAGGGGAGACAAGUCGUAACAUGGUAAGUGUACCGGAAGGUGCACUUGGAAAAAC